Molecule: ribosomal RNA, 253 nt
Filed under: uncultured bacterium
Lineage: Bacteria
Description: partial 16S ribosomal RNA
Rfam family: Bacterial small subunit ribosomal RNA
Source: RNAcentral
UACGGGGGGAGCAAGCGUUGUUCGGAUUUACUGGGCGUAAAGGGCGCGUAGGCGGCGCAACAAGUCACUUGUGAAAUCUCCGGGCUUAACCCGGAGCGGCCAAGUGAUACUGUCGUGCUAGAGUGCGGAAGGGGCUACUGGAAUUCUCGGUGUAGCGGUGAAAUGCGUAGAUAUCGGGAGGAACACCGGUGGCGAAGGCGGCGACCUGGGUAGAUACUGACGCUGAGGUGCGAAAGCGUGGGGAGCAAACAGG